Vulpes vulpes (red fox) is the source of this 261-nucleotide unclassified non-coding RNA. The record is from Ensembl. NCBI's taxonomy places the organism in Eukaryota, Metazoa, Chordata, Mammalia, Carnivora, Canidae.
GAAAAAGCAGCUUUAUUGUUUCCAGGACCCUGUCCAGAGGAGUCACUCAAGCUCAGACAUUUCUUCCUCUUGUGUCCACUUGCCACGACUGUCUGACAAAGUGGGAGUCUGAGGUGGCUACUAGGUAGGACCAUUUGCAGAUCUCUGUGAUCAUUUGCCGAUCCUGCUACAGUGGGUAGCUCCUCCAGACAUCAUCAUGUUCUUCCAGUUCUACUGGGUGUACAAUGGUUCUCAAGAGAGAAUAUUCUGAGCUAUAGCAAA